AGUGAACGCUGGCGGCGUGCCUAAUACAUGCAAGUCGAACGGACAAGUAAGAGCUUGCUCUUAUGAGUUAGUGGCGCACGGGUGAGUAAUGUAUAGCUAAUCUGCCCUACACUAGAGGACAACAGUUGGAAACGGCUGCUAAUACUCUAUACACCUCUCUAGCAUAAGUUAGAUAGGGAAAGUUUUUCGGUGUAGGAUGAGGCUAUAUUGUAUCAGCUAGUUGGUGAGGUAAUGGCUCACCAAGGCUAUGACGCAUAACUGGUCUGAGAGGAUGAUCAGUCACACUGGAACUGAGACACGGUCCAGACUCCUACGGGAGGCAGCAGUAGGGAAUAUUGCUCAAUGGGGGAAACCCUGAAGCAGCAACGCCGCGUGGAGGAUGACACUUUUCGGAGCGUAAACUCCUUUUGUUAGGGAAGAA
Molecule: ribosomal RNA, 421 nt
Filed under: Campylobacter concisus
Lineage: Bacteria; Pseudomonadati; Campylobacterota; Epsilonproteobacteria; Campylobacterales; Campylobacteraceae
Description: bacterial SSU rRNA
Rfam family: Bacterial small subunit ribosomal RNA
Source: RNAcentral